Molecule: long non-coding RNA, 1007 nt
Filed under: Homo sapiens (human)
Lineage: Eukaryota; Metazoa; Chordata; Mammalia; Primates; Hominidae
Description: HSALNT0308020
Source: RNAcentral
UUGCGAGAGGGGGCCUGGUGGGAGGUGUUGGUUCAUGGGAGUGGAUUACUAAUAAUUGGUUUGGUGCCGUUCUUACGGUGGUAAGCAAGUUAUCACUCUGGCAAGACUAGAUUAGUUCUUGUGGGAGUGGAUUCGUUCCCUCUUGAGAGUGAGUUAUUAUAAAGCCAGGAGCUUCUCUUUUCAUGAGGUUCGUGUCGGCUUCCCCUUUGAACUUCUCACUAUGUUUUGACCUAAAACGUGGCUCUUUCUCUCACCAGAUGCUGAACAGAUGCCAGUGCAAUGCUUUUGGUACUUCUCAGUCUGCAGAACUAGGGAAGAAAAAAGAUAAGAUAAAGAAAAAUAUUCUACCAGACACAUGGGAAUCAGUGACAAGGCCUGACAUAUACAUUACGGGAGCACCAGAAGACGCAGUAGAAUGAAUGUGUCAAUGGCAACAGUUGAAGAUAUACUGAAAAAUUGAUGGACAAAAUGCCAAAGAUUCAUCACGUUCUUUGAACUCCAAGCAGAAUAAAUAGAUAAGUAGAAAGGAAAUCACAUUUAGACAAAUGCAUAGCAAAACUCCAAAGGAGCAAGGAAAAAGUCUACAUUUUAAAAAUCAGCUUGGAGUUGAAAACAAGGCUACAGUCCGCAAGUCAUGAUACCACGAUAAACAUUUUAAAAGAGGAAAAUUUAAGAAAAUCCCAGUGUAUUCACCUAUGAAGUGUAAAGUCAUGAACAACAUGAGAACAAUGCAACUAUGGCACACAUUUAGACGCUGUUACGAGUAACAACAAAAAAAAUUUUGCAGCGUUUGAAAUUAUAUUCAGCGUAACUUUUUGUACUUAUAUACACUACUACUGUAUAAAUUUAAAAAAUUAAUGUCAUUAAUUUCCUCUAAAAAGUGAUUAUUUUUAAUUGGGCUAGUUUGCCUGCCAGGAAAACUUUCAUGUACAUUUUGUUGAUUCAAAUCAAUAAAAAUCCAGGAAUAAUGUGAGCUAAUUAUGCUUUAAAAUGUGAAUAUAAUAUUU